This 441-nucleotide ribosomal RNA is filed under the name Triticum aestivum (bread wheat). RNAcentral describes it as "partial small subunit ribosomal RNA". Lineage: Eukaryota; Viridiplantae; Streptophyta; Magnoliopsida; Poales; Poaceae. The record is from RNAcentral.
AUGCCACUUCACUUAUGGUGCAAUACCCGAGCUUGUAUCGGAUUGCUAGUCAUAAACUUUUCACAAUCGCAUAGGUCUUGGGUCAAGCAAACACUGAUAUUUCUCUCUGUCCUAUUAGGGCGUCGCCUCGCACGUUUGGAGCACACUCAGCUGUCAAAUGAACCAGACAGGUUUUGAGGAAACUUGCAUGAGAAUGGUAGGUUUUCAGUCAAGUCCUUAUAUGAGGCGACUGCCCACAUCGGUGUUCAUGCUGAUAAUAAUAAUAAAAUGAAUCUCAAACUACCUCUUCGAGUGCAGAUAUUCCUCUGGCUUUUAAACAAAGGUCUGAUCUUGACUAGGGAUAAGCUGGCACACAACAAUUGGCAAGGUAACAUGACCUGUGUCUUUUGGCAACACGACGAGUCUAUUAAACACCUUUUUUGUGUAAUUUUGCUCGUGUAG